RNAcentral lists this ribosomal RNA (483 nucleotides) under uncultured bacterium. RNAcentral's name for it is "bacterial SSU rRNA". It matches the Rfam family "Bacterial small subunit ribosomal RNA", at positions 30 to 507 of the family's 1533-position model. The record is from RNAcentral.
AUUGAACGCUGGCGGCGUGCUUAACACAUGCAAGUCGAGCGGUAACGCGGGGGCAACCCUGGCGACGAGCGGCGAACGGGUGAGUAUUACAUGGGAAUCUGCCUAGUAGUGGGGAAUAACCCGGGGAAACUCGGGCUAAUACCGCAUACGUCCUAAGGGAGAAAGCGGGGGAUCGCAAGACCUCGCGCUAUUGGAUGAGCCCAUGUCGGAUUAGCUAGUUGGUGAGGUAAUGGCUCACCAAGGCGACGAUCCGUAGCUGGUCUGAGAGGACGGCCAGCCACACUGGGACUGAGACACGGCCCAGACUCCUACGGGAGGCAGCAGUGGGGAAUUUUGGACAAUGGGCGAAAGCCUGAUCCAGCAAUGCCGCGUGCAGGAUGAAGGCCUUCGGGUUGUAAACUGCUUUGUACGGAACGAAACAGUCUUUCUAAUACAGGAGACUAAUGACGGUACCGUAAGAAUAAGCACCGGCGUAACUACGUG